ACUUUCAACAACGGAUCUCUUGGUUCUGGCAUCGAUGAAGAACGCAGCGAAAUGCGAUAAGUAAUGUGAAUUGCAGAAUUCAGUGAAUCAUCGAAUCUUUGAACGCACAUUGCGCCCUGUGGUAUUCCGCAGGGCAUGCCUGUUCGAGCGUCAUUACA
RNAcentral lists this ribosomal RNA (158 nucleotides) under Ascomycota sp. Da_BeP_I11. Its description in RNAcentral is "5.8S ribosomal RNA". It matches the Rfam family "5.8S ribosomal RNA". Rfam says of the family: 5.8S ribosomal RNA (5.8S rRNA) is a component of the large subunit of the eukaryotic ribosome. It is transcribed by RNA polymerase I as part of the 45S precursor that also contains 18S and 28S rRNA. Functionally, it is thought that 5.8S rRNA may be involved in ribosome translocation. Lineage: Eukaryota; Fungi; Ascomycota. The record is from RNAcentral.